CGCCAAGAACCACGAGGACAGUCUCCCCUUGUGGAUCGGGCAAAAUUCAUGAUCAAGGAG
Molecule: regulatory RNA element, 60 nt
Organism: Pelobacter propionicus DSM 2379
Lineage: Bacteria; Pseudomonadati; Thermodesulfobacteriota; Desulfuromonadia; Desulfuromonadales; Desulfuromonadaceae
Rfam family: L20-Deltaproteobacteria ribosomal protein leader
Source: Rfam